CACUCGGAGAGGCAGUGCGCUGUGCUGGCCGAUGGAGGGUCUGUUCCCGGCGCUAACGGUCAGAGGCGCUCGGAGAGGCAGUGCGCUGUACUGGCCGAUGGAGGGUCUGUUCCCGGCGCUAACGGUCAGAGGCGCUCGGAGAGGCCGUGCGCUGUACUGGCCGAUGGAGGGUCUGUUCCCGGCACUAACGGUCAGAGGCGCUCGGAGAGGCAGUGUGGUGUACUGGGUCUAUUCCUGGUAUCAGUGUUGAGCUGGGUGAGGGCGAGUCACUGGACACCUCGAUUUCUCUUCCCCUCCUUUGUCCAUUUAGUUCAUAAGCUCAUCGGAGCAGAGCUUUGCUCUUACCAUGGUGUGUGUGGGGACAGGGUCUAGUCCCCAGGGCUGGUUCAGCUGGGAACCUCUAGACACAAACCCACUAAUGACUCCCAGCUCCACUGCUGAGACCACCUGCCUCCAAACCCCCUCGGUGCAGAACCUGCCUUUGAGGCACCCCCGAGCAGGACAUUUGUCUCCGUGCUCUGUCUGGGAGCGACAGGGUCUUGUGGAGGGGGGCGGGGGUUAGCUGCCACAGAAGGUGUUGGUUUUAUUUCAUUUAUUUAUUUCUGCCCUUUUAUAUCUUCCUUUGCAAGCCGGCCCAACCCAGCACACCAGACAAAGGGUCCUAAUAUGCCAUCAGAAAAACGUGUGCUUUCUUAAAUUGACACCUGCACUUUUACUUUGGAUAGUGACACCUGCGCUCAUAAUAACAUCGCCCCGACAAUUAGCAACACGAGAACUUUCAUCGCCAGGCCCAAAUUCCAGGCCCUGGAAUGGAGACAAUAAUUAGUGCUCAGUUUUCUAAUCAUAUUUAUGGAACCCCACAAAUUCUCAUUCUCAGCCUGCUCUUGGGAAUGUAGCAAUUUUCAGAUGCUAGCCGGAUGUGAAUGGGAAGGAACGAUCAAUAUGCUCUUUAGUGGAGUUCUGACCAACAGGAAAGAGGCUUGUAUCGGAAACAGCCUCUGCCAGAGAGACCAUCCCGUUCAGAAACCUGAUCUGCCCUGUGCAGCAUACAUGGAUUGCAACUCAAAAUAGGGCUUAUGUGAGACUAAAAGUGGGGCUUGCGCCCAUUGCUGGCCCUCUGCUCAGGAGUCAGCUUCACCCUGCAGAAAGUCAGCCUGGCUACGCCUCCAGGGAAAAGCAGAAAGAGGCCUUUCCCCAUUCCCGACUCAGCCCUCCAUAAGGAGCCCUUUGCUGGGUUUAGAUGCCCAAGCGGGAAAGCUCCCAUUCACUCCCUCCGCCUGGAGCACCACUGCCCCACACUCCAGAACCCUGUAUGUUUAAAGUUAGCACAUUUCAAUGUAACAGGACUAACAUAUGGACAACUGUCAAGUUACAACUCCUCAGGGUUCCGGGGAAAAUAGGUGAUUCCAGUUCUAAGUAGUAAAAUAUGCACAUUCAUUUAGAACAGGAGUAAAAGAAAAUAGUGGAGGUAGCCUCAGGGUAGCUCUACCUAAUGCGCUGACAAGUUAUGCAGAAUUCUUGGUUGAAAAUGUGCUUGCCGGUUCAUCCGUGUUUAUCCUAGCAACACGAGUUCUGAUAGACCGGCCCCUUCCCUCCUGCCAGCGUGACUGUCCUAGGCUGGCUACAUGCAUUAGCUGAGCCCAACCCAUUUGAUGAGGAAGUCACACUUUACUUGCUGCUACGUUUCCAUCCCAGUAUGGUUCUGGUGGAUUUAUAGGGGCUCAGGAUGGGUCCAAAGCCUGGCUGGAGCCUGAGAGUCCUGUCUCACGGCUGAUAAAGUGUUUCCUCUUCUGGGAGCACCAUCCGGACAGUGUUCUGGGGACGCCUGCCAUAGCCUCUCUGUGCUGCUGGCUGGGUCUAAGCUUAAAACCUCAGGCCCAGAAACAAUGAAAAGCAGAGAUGAAAUAAAGGAUCCUCCUCUACCUUCUUUGUGCCUAUUUCCUGACCCCGGGCUCACGGACAACGCCCUCCACAACACUACCUCUGCUCUGACACGCAACACCAUGAAAUGAGAAGGCAAAGCACUGCACCAUGGUGCUGCUGGAGCUGCUAAUGAACAACGCUUUGCACGGGUACAGGAGGCUUUCAUCUAGUGAGCGUCGAGAACAUUCCAGAGAACACUGCAGCCUCCCAGCACCCCUCAUGGAGCCACCCCUAUGAUACAAUAAACAGAAAAUGGUGGCACUACGAGGUCCCCAUUGGGCACCAAUCUUCUCUGCUGGCGAUUCCAGGCUCUCAUUGAGAUCAGUGGAAAUACUCCCAUUGACUUCCAUACGGAGGUCAAGAUGGUGCCAUAGCACAGUGUCUGUCUUCUUCAGUCCAAGGCCUUGCUGCUAAAAGGGCUAGGAACAGGCGUGCAUUAGUGCCAACGGUAAUACUGCUUUUGUUCAAUACAGGCGCCCAGGAACUGGUUAUGGGGACUGAGCUUUUGUCAGAUGGGUGGGUAAAAUCUGACCCGCGGCGGAGAGAUGCUGUGUCCCAUCACCAGCCGCUAAGCUCAGCCUUAGCUGCAACUAGCUUUCGUUAUUUUGUGGAAAAGUGGGACCUGGCUGGGCUCCGAAAGGAAUGAGCAGGCAAGCAGUGCUCCAGGGACUAUUUUUUGACAAUUGAGACACAUGCCUCCCUCAGCGUUCCUAUGACCAGUUAGGUGGGACCACAGACGUUAAUUGUAGAUGAGAAAUAACUGUUUGGAGGCCCCAUCUUGCAUUCCGUGUUCAGGCAAAAGCUUCCAUUCAAGUCGUUGAGACUUUUACCCAUGUAAAGAGUGCAGGAUAAGCGCCUUGCUGGGAGAUUUUACUAACUCAAUGUGCUAGGCCAGCACAACAGAGCAUAAUUAUGGACUGGGCCACAAUACGGACUCCAGAAAAGACAAGCAAAGCUCCUUAGUGGCAUUCACCUGUGGGUCGAGCGGGCCGUGAGCCGUGUCCAGAAAACUGACACCAACCAGCAACGUGUCUUCAGUCGGUAUUUGCUGUAGCCCAGCAAAUGAUCACGGAUGGUGAUGUCACCUAUCAUCUCUGCUGUUAGACUGUUACAAGGGAAGGAUCCCUGGCCAGCAAUAGGAACCCUUCGGACAAAUAAAUGCACAGGGCCCAGUUCUGCCCCCUUUACUCCCAUGAGUAGCACCUUACCCCACAGGUCGUCCCUCUGAGCUCAUGGGGAGUAGCAGAGCUGCCCUCUUGCGUUGCCCAGUUGGCUACGUGGUUCCUCGAUAGUGCAGAUCCAGACUUCCGGAGCGAAAUCCUCUGCCCAGCUGCACCCAUCCCAAGGGGCUCAGCAGAUCCCCGGCGACUGUAACAUCCACGUAAUGACUGACCCUCUGCCCUCCCCCGCCUCCGGCCACUGCCGCUCCACCGAACCCUCUGCAGGAGAGUAAACACUGAGCUGCACACAGGGCCGGGCGCAACCUGGCAAUCAGCUGCCCCCUCGCAAGGCGACGACCCUCCCAAACCUGCCCUUUCACCCACAAUACGCUCAGCAGAACCGCAGUGCGGGCCAGCCCCUCAGCCAGUCUGAAUCAGACUCCCCAGGCCUGUGAGAGGAGCCCGACAUGCACGAGAAGCGCUGGGUUUGCCCUCAAAAUGCUUUAGGUUGACAUCAGAAAACACAAAGGCCCCGUCUCUCCCUGUGCAAUGCUAGCUGGGGCCGAAGAUAGCGUCAUUUUACUUUUAUUGGAUUCAUUUCAU
Molecule: long non-coding RNA, 3686 nt
Organism: Mauremys reevesii (Reeves's turtle)
Lineage: Eukaryota; Metazoa; Chordata; Testudines; Geoemydidae
Exons: 3
Source: RefSeq, a predicted model, not a curated record